Molecule: unclassified non-coding RNA, 200 nt
Filed under: Nectriaceae sp.
Lineage: Eukaryota; Fungi; Ascomycota; Sordariomycetes; Hypocreales; Nectriaceae
Description: partial internal transcribed spacer 2
Source: RNAcentral
UUAAGUUCAGCGGGUAUUCCUACCUGAUCCGAGGUCAACCUUCAGAAGUUGGGGGUUUAACGGCGUGGCCGCGCUUUGUCCCGUUGCGAGGUUAGAUUACUACGCAGAGGAGUACAGCGUGACCGCCACUAGAUUUCGGAGACGGCCCCCGGUGAGGGAGGCCGAUCCCCAACGCCGACCCCCCGGAGGGGUUCGAGGGU